AGGGGCACAAGAAGAUCCUUUCAUCAUUUUAUUCAAUGUCAUUUCCUUGUAACAUUGAUGAGAGAAGAAACUGACUCCCCCUCCAGGGCCAUUGUCUGUGUGGAGUUUGCACAUUCUCUCCAUGUCUGCAUGAGUUUUCUCCAGAAGACAGAAGAUUCUAUCUCCAUUGUAACUGCUUAAAAGAUAGUUCUCUGUUCCUUAGCCCUUAAGGUUCCUCCAGUCAGAAUACACAAUCAACCCAGCAGCUAACUCAGCCAGCCUGCAUCACAAAAAACACCAGCCAGCUGCCAAGCCAGGUGACUCAGAGUCUUUGAUCAUCUCAGUCCUCCUCCUCUAAUGCACUGGGCUCUCCUCAUUUCUCCAGAAGUGUUUCCAUUUCCACAUUUCAAUCCCUUUAGUGAGCCCUUAUAGAUGUCAUCUCCCUGAACACUGACCCUUGGUGCAUUGGUAUAGCUUAAAUUUAGUUCAUGUCCCUAGCUUGAUGAUGGCUCAGUCUUACUUAGGUUUGUGCUAAAUAUGUAGAAAUCUAAAGCCUAUGGAUAUUUGAAUAAAU
RNAcentral lists this long non-coding RNA (553 nucleotides) under Callithrix jacchus (white-tufted-ear marmoset). Its description in RNAcentral is "lncRNA (ENSCJAG00000081715.1)". The record is from RNAcentral. Lineage: Eukaryota; Metazoa; Chordata; Mammalia; Primates; Cebidae.